CCCGAAAUUAAAAGAUCUACUUUUUAACUUACGUUGUUGUAGCAAUAACAACCUUAAUAAAUAGUAGUUAUGAAAAUUUAAUCGAUUUUAAUUAUACCUGGUUCUACCUAUUUAUAAUAUUAAAUAAUGGACAUUUAUUGUCUAAUAUUUUACUUGGUUAAGCUAAGUAUUUUUGAGUUAAAGCCAUCUUAAAUAAAGAAUAAGAUUUAAAAGUAGUCUUCAUUUAGUGUCAUUAUAGCUAUCUAUGAUAUAUAUCUAAAUUUUAUUUUUUUUACUCUUUGAUAGGUUGAUUUAAGAGGAAUUUCUCUCUUAAUUUAUAAUGUAUGUAUUAUUAGUUUUGUUUAUAUUUUAUUAUUAAUAUUAAUGUGUGAAAUCAGAAUUCGGCUAUUUUUCUACAACUGUUUAUUAAAAACAUAGCUUUGAGCGUUUAUUCAAAGUAUCUUCUGCCCACUGAUAUGAUUAAAUGGCCGCAGUACUCUGACUGUGCUAAGGUAGCGUGAUUCUUGUUUUCUUAAUUAGAAAUCUGUUCAAAGAAUGAUAUGUAGAAAAUCUAUUGUUUUCAUAUAUAAUGAAGUUAAAUUGUUAGUGAAAAUUCUGACAAGUGUUUAAAAGACGAGAAGACCCCAUAAAACUUAAUUUGAUCUUUUUACCUCUAGUUUAAAAUUUAAAUGGGGACUUUAGAGUAUAACAAUAACUUAUUGACCUAAAAUUUUAUUAUUUGAGAAGCUACUUUGGGGAUAACAGGGUGAGAUAUUUAGAGAGUUCAUAUCGAUAAAUAUAAUUACUACCUCGAUGUUGGAUUAUCUUUUCAUAUAUAUUGUAGCAGUAUAUAUUGUUAGUCUGUUCGACUAUUAAAAAGUUACAUGAUCUGAGUUUAAACCGUUGCAAGACAGGUUGGAUUUUAUCUUUAACUUAUUUUUAAAUAUUUUAGUACGAAAGGAAUUAAUA
RNAcentral lists this ribosomal RNA (948 nucleotides) under Brachionus rubens. Its description in RNAcentral is "16S ribosomal RNA". The stretch from base 582 to 912 matches the Rfam family "Bacterial large subunit ribosomal RNA", at positions 2049 to 2651 of the family's 2925-position model. Lineage: Eukaryota; Metazoa; Rotifera; Eurotatoria; Ploima; Brachionidae. The record is from RNAcentral.